This 677-nucleotide long non-coding RNA is filed under the name Prunus dulcis (almond). RNAcentral describes it as "sRNA ncRNA". The record is from RNAcentral. Lineage: Eukaryota; Viridiplantae; Streptophyta; Magnoliopsida; Rosales; Rosaceae.
AUCAGCGCAUGUCAAUCAGAUGUAUCUUUCGUUUGCCUCCUUUAUUAAUCUGUACAAAUGUAUUUAAAGUGAAAACAAACAUUUCAUAUCAAAUACGGCCGUCUAUAUCUUUCAAAAACCGAACAGAUAAUAGAUGAAGAAAUUAAGAGAAUUGAUAGCUUGACUAAUCAGUGUUUAAGGGAACAUAAUGUGGGAUUGAGGAAGACAAAAUAGGCAAAUGGUUGCCCACAAAGUCCACCCGUUCGUUUGGUGAUUAGAAAUUCUAGGGUUCUUCUGUAUGGACCCUCACAAUGUCUUCUUUUCUACAUACAAUGACAAUGGCAUUAUCCAAUGGCUUGUUUGCAAAAUGGCAUCUUUUAUCGACAUUACUUUACCAUUGAAGACAAGUUUUCUUCACAUAUCUCUGUAAUUUCUCAUGUGGAUGGUGACCAGGCUAUUUGUUGGUCCAAGCAGGUCCCCUCUCUAAAACCCUACGAAUCUAAUUCAGCUUUUGUAUUCAUUUCAUGUACGUUAAGAGACAAUGCUUCAUGGUCCAUCCCAACCCCCACCACCAAUCUUGAGCCAGUCGCGUCCUGCCUCUCUCUCAAUCUAUAAGAUCCUUAGUUGGUCAAGGAUUUUUCAUAUGUGCAUAUAUAUUAUAACAAAUUCUCGAGAUUGGAAUAUCAGAAACUAUUUAG